This 2207-nucleotide long non-coding RNA is filed under the name Brassica napus (rape). Its description in RNAcentral is "long non-coding RNA (BNAP_LNC026787)". The record is from RNAcentral. Lineage: Eukaryota; Viridiplantae; Streptophyta; Magnoliopsida; Brassicales; Brassicaceae.
CCGUCUUCCCCAAAUACUUUAUAAACUCCGUCAGCGUCGCCCACUCCGUCGAGUUCAUAUGCACAUGGUGCCUAUCGUUAAUGUACUCGUUGUACACCACGGUGGCGGCGAUGCGAGAGAAACGGUGGCUCCGCCGCAUGAGGUCGAGGAAGGUCUUCUCGAACUCCUCGGAGUAGCCCUGGAGGACGCGCCUCUGGUUCUGGCCGAAGACCUGCAUCUGGCGCUGGUGAGACUCGCUCAUGCAGUGGCACUUGAACCCGUUCUCGUCGCGGCACUGCUUCUGGCACAUCUGGCAGUACCACCGGAGCUUCUGGAGGCCUUUCGCCUUCAUGCGGUUCGCGAUCGCCUUCGGGGUGAGGAAAUCGUUCUUGCCCAUCGUCGAAUCGAAUCGAAUUAGGGUUCUUGGGGGAUUGGAAUCAGAGAGCAGAAACGACGUGACUGGUCGAGGUUUCGCGAAGAAUCGAUUUUUCUUUCUUGUCGAUGAAUUGAAGAGAGACGGAUGAUUAGCGAAACUCACUAAUGGGCCUAUAUAAUAUGUAGUAGAGGCUACACAUUGGCCCAUAUGUGGUUCAGUUUCAUCUAUAGUUUGUUGUGUACGGGUAAUUUGUUUCAAACCCAACUUUUACUCGGAUACCCAUCCAAUACAGUUUGAAUUGGUUGCUUUUGGUCAAACAUUUUGUAUUCAAUGCGUCUAAAUUUACCCAAAAUAAUAUACGGCUUGAAUCCUUUGUAAAAGCAAAAUCAAAGAUCACAGGGUUUCUUAAAGAUAAUACAUUAGUCUCACUUACAACGGCACUGAGUAAACCAAUGAAAAUCAAAGACAAACCAGUCAAGAACAUGUCAUGAAACAGAAUCUCAUCUGCAGUAACCUUCGGUGACUCAUGAAACGAUCCAUCAGGGAUCAUUAUGCAGUCAAACCCCAUCAUCUUCUACCCUCUACGAUGCAACCAUGUUCUCUUGGCUGGACAAAAGAGAAUGAAAGGAAUAACAAAAGCCAGAAUCUUGUGUAUCAUUCUGUUUUAUCAUAAGAGUGAGUUGUCUGAAACGCACUUGCAGACACAAAGAAAGGGUUCAAAGUAGAAACACAAGGUACGCUGAUAUAAUGGUCUAAAGAUAUAGUAACUAAGCUAGUUUGCAUAUAUCCUCAUACUCAAUAGACUUGAUGACUCUCCCUUCAUAAACACCUUUCUCAAUCUGCACUUUAGCACAGAACUUCUCCGUAUCCACGCCCAACAACUUCGCAACUGAACCGCGAUACGCCCCAUUCACAAUCUUCACCAACCCUCCAAUCUGCGGAAUCACAGUCUCAAGCUCCUCCUGAUCAACUCGCAGCACAUGCUUAGAAUCAAUCAUCUCAAUCUCCCCGACAUAGUCAUCAAUCACUUUCCUCACCACACCCUUCUGCUUAUAAUACCCUUUAUCCGCCAGAGCUUUACUCAUCACCUUCACAACAAUCCCUUGGAACAGCCAGUAAGGCUUGCGAUUCAUCCUCUCCUUCUUCCUCUCUUCCUCCUUCAUCAACUCAUCCAAAGCAGACCUUCUCUCCUUCUCCAAGUCUCCACCUUUUCUCCUCUUCUUCUUCUCCUCUCUCUCAUUCUCUUCCUCCUCAAACACACGCCUCGAGCUCUCACCCGUAGUAACAACCUGUUUAGCCCCUCCACCGAGUGAAAACCCAACCUUGACAACACCACUCUUCAACCCAAAGUCUUCACCUUUCUUCUUCUCAUCAUCAUCUUUACCACUACCUUCACCUUCCUUGGCUCUCUCAAUCUGUCUCCGAAUCUCCCUCUCCUGCUUCUCCUCCUCAGCCAAAUCACUCUUCACCCUCUUAUUCUUCAACCUCUCUUUAAAAAUAGUCUCCGAAUCUCUAUCAAUAUAAGUAAUGAACCACCCUUUAGGCGUCUCCUCGACCUUACACUUCCCCGUCUUCCCCAAAUACUUUAUAAACUCCGUCAGCGUCGCCCACUCCGUCGAGUUCAUAUGCACAUGGUGCCUAUCGUUAAUGUACUCGUUGUACACCACGGUGGCGGCGAUGCGAGAGAAACGGUGGCUCCGCCGCAUGAGGUCGAGGAAGGUCUUCUCGAACUCCUCGGAGUAGCCCUGGAGGACGCGCCUCUGGUUCUGGCCGAAGACCUGCAUCUGGCGCUGGUGAGACUCGCUCAUGCAGUGGCACUUGAACCCGUUCUCGUCGCGGCACUGCUUCUGGC